This 92-nucleotide non-coding RNA is filed under the name human gut metagenome. Its description in RNAcentral is "Glycine riboswitch". It matches the Rfam family "Glycine riboswitch aptamer", at positions 9 to 86 of the family's 94-position model. From Rfam's summary of the family: This family represents the bacterial glycine riboswitch. Glycine riboswitches usually consist of two metabolite-binding aptamers domains with similar structures in tandem. The aptamers cooperatively bind glycine to regulate the expression of downstream genes. The record is from RNAcentral.
CGCUCCGGAGAAGUCCGAUUUCGGAUGCCGAAGGUGCAAGGCUCGGUGCCUGUCGUGCACGGGUCAAUCUCUCAGGCAAAAGGACGGAGGAU